GACGAACGCUGGCGGCGUGCUUAACACAUGCAAGUCGAACGGAAAGGCCCUGCUUUUGUGGGGUGCUCGAGUGGCGAACGGGUGAGUAACACGUGAGUAACCUGCCCUUGACUUUGGGAUAACUUCAGGAAACUGGGGCUAAUACCGGAUAGGAGCUCCUGCUGCAUGGUGGGGGUUGGAAAGUUUCGGCGGUUGGGGAUGGACUCGCGGCUUAUCAGCUUGUUGGUGGGGUAGUGGCUUACCAAGGCUUUGACGGGUAGCCGGCCUGAGAGGGUGACCGGCCACAUUGGGACUGAGAUACGGCCCAGACUCCUACGGGAGGCAGCAGUGGGGAAUAUGGCACAAUGGGCGGAAGCCGGAUGCAGCAACGCCGCGUGCGGGAUGACGGCCUUCGGGUGGUAAACCGCUUUCGCCUGUGACGAAGCGUGAGUGACGGUAAUGGGUAAAGAAGCACCGGCUAACUACGU
RNAcentral lists this ribosomal RNA (467 nucleotides) under uncultured bacterium. RNAcentral's name for it is "partial 16S ribosomal RNA". It matches the Rfam family "Bacterial small subunit ribosomal RNA", at positions 28 to 506 of the family's 1533-position model. The record is from RNAcentral.